This 439-nucleotide ribosomal RNA is filed under the name uncultured bacterium. RNAcentral's name for it is "partial 16S ribosomal RNA". It matches the Rfam family "Bacterial small subunit ribosomal RNA", at positions 339 to 795 of the family's 1533-position model. The record is from RNAcentral.
CUACGGGGGGCAGCAGUGGGGAAUAUUGCACAAUGGGGGGAACCCUGAUGCAGCAACGCCGCGUGGAGGAAGACGCAUUUCGGUGUGUAAACUCCUUUUAUAUAGGAAGAUAAUGACGGUACUAUAUGAAUAAGCACCGGCUAACUCCGUGCCAGCAGCCGCGGUAAUACGGAGGGUGCAAGCGUUACUCGGAAUCACUGGGCGUAAAGCGCACGCAGGCGGCUAAAUAAGUUGGAAGUGAAAUCCACUGGCUCAACCAGUGAACUGCUUCCAAAACUGUUUGGCUAGAGUCUGGGAGGGGAAGAUGGAAUUAGUUGUGUAGGGGUAAAAUCCGUAGAGAUAACUAGGAAUACCAAAAGCGAAGGCGAUCUUCUGGAACAGUACUGACGCUGAGGCGCGAAAGCGUGGGGAGCAAACAGGAUUAGAUACCCCAGUAGUC